ACCAGGAAUCUGAGUUUUCUGGCAAGCAGGAUGCACAUCAGAGUACACAAGAGCCAUGUCUUGGUGACUUCCGCCUGAGAGCACACGCACAGCUUCCUGUUUUGGUCUGAUAGCUUCCCCUGGGCUUUCAUAGAUGCAAAAUUACUCACACAGAGAUGGGUUGCCCAUGCAAAAAAGUGAACUGUGUAGAAUCCUUGCUAUGUGCUUUCACAUAAAAAAAUAAUAAUAAUAACAACAACAAAAGGCGAAAAAGAGUUUUCAGAGUGGAGAAUUGUAAACAUCAGAAAAACAAAGGACCAGAGAAUGGGGCAGAAGGUUUGGAAUCCCCAAGCUGUGGGACCCAUAUUGUCAUCAAUUUAUGAAAACCUCAUUAAAAAAAACACUUCACAUCAUUCUCUUUGAUAUAUCAAGGUCAAGAGACUUCAUGUUUGCAUAUACACAGAAGAAGGGGACAAUGUAUAUAGGUCCUAAGAAAAUCAGCCCUGCUGAAUAGAGGGUUUGCUAAGCCCACUGAAUGGAAGAGAGUUGGGGGGUUGGGAUAACUUCAGCAGGUCAUUUCCAACAAAAUAAAUUCUUAGCAGCCUACCA
Molecule: long non-coding RNA, 588 nt
Organism: Suricata suricatta (meerkat)
Lineage: Eukaryota; Metazoa; Chordata; Mammalia; Carnivora; Herpestidae
Exons: 2
Source: RefSeq, a predicted model, not a curated record